Molecule: long non-coding RNA, 2429 nt
Filed under: Mytilus galloprovincialis (Mediterranean mussel)
Lineage: Eukaryota; Metazoa; Mollusca; Bivalvia; Mytilida; Mytilidae
Source: RNAcentral
CUUAAUAAGUACCGGCUCAUAUGAAAUUUAGACUUUUACUUAUAAAUAUAGAAACGUCGAGUUCAUAGUAAGAUUAAUAUAGAAACUUGUCAAAUAUCGAGUUCAUACUAAUAGGCAGCUAAAACAACAAGGAACAAUGAGGUUCUACUGCAUAUAUUUUAUGAUUUUCAGUCGUUUCGUUUUUGUGGAUCUACUUUCUAGGACCGACAUAUACAAAACUUUAUUCAACAGAACAGAUAUAUAUUGCUCUUCUUCUUGUAGGAGGAAUGAAUAUCAUCUUGUCAGUUGUUGUAUGUGUAGUAUGUAAAAAACGAGAGAAAAACUAUAUUCAUUAUAAGUUUCGUACAAUGACAUUUUGGAAUAUCCUGAAAUAUUUUGGACGUUCAUUACCAGAUAAAACACUUAUCCAGGUAUAAAACAAAUCUCCCAGUCAACCUAUGUAAUUUUACUGGAAUCGUUCAAAUGGAUUUUUUCGUACAAUCAGAUAAACAGAAUUAACAAUAUUUCUUGCAUCAAAAGUCUAGACACUUGAAAAUGCGUAAUAACAAAAAAGAAUUUUUGAGGAGCGAUGCCUUUAUUGGAAUGAAAGAUUAACGCAAUAUUGACCAUUCAUACAACCGUUUGAAGUACAUAGAACCAGGAUUGUUAUUAAACAUGGCUGCAAGUCUUCUUAAUUUUGAUGUCUAAUAAUUUAUUGACACCGAUAUCACCAAUAUUCUGUGGGAAAAUCAACCAGCGUUCUGCGAAACCGAUUUUUCCUUUAAUAAGAUAACAAGUAUAAGCAAUCAACUUGAUUGGACAUGCAAAAGGAAUACACAAUUUGGAUAUGGAGGAUUUGUUAAUUUGUCUAACAAUAAUUUGUCACAUUUCGUGAAGUUUUGUGAAAUUGGAUUUAGAUAUAUUAUUUUUUUAGGAAAACUGCUAUCCUAUGGAUUUGAUUUACGAGAAAACUGGAUUUAUCGAAAAAUAGAAAUGAAAAAAUACGUAACAAUCUGAUUGCUAAAUUAAGAAACGUAAGUUUUAUUAAUUGGUCAAAAAACAAAAUGACAAAAAAUCCACGUAUUUUGAAAAUUUUAAACCCUUGUCAGAUUUACAUAGGAGAAAUCGUUAUUCAUUGUAAAUGCAAAGACAUUUGGCUUCACAAUUGGCUGCCAUCAAUUCAGAGCAAAUGUUUCAAUAAUCAUGAUAAUACGAGAGUAUAUUGCAAGUAGCAUAAUAAAAAAGUUCAACACGAAGAAACAACACGAACUCUACUAAAAACCGGGAGUGAAAUCAGGUGCUCCGGAAGGGUGAGCAUUUCCUGUACCGUAUACGGCACCCGUCGUGUUAUUUCUUUGUUCAGUUCGGUAAUGAUUGAAGGUAAUUAUGACUGAGGAAGAAUAUUAAUAUGAAAUGUUAAUAAGCUGACAGGGGUGAUUAUCAACGUCAAAUUGAUUUGUCAUAUUUUCUGUUAUAUAAACAAUUAGAUCUUGUACAUGUUUUUCAUCUCUUUUCAUUGCAGCUGGUUUUGCUUAUCGUAAAAUUGUUUAUCAACCUGGACAAGACCCGCACGUGCUCUCAUUGCCGAUGUUAACUGACUUAGCACAUGCCUUGUAAAAUUCCAUCUUAUCAAUGAAGCCUUCUUCCUUGUUAAACCAACAAUGCCACCGUCUCCUUUUGAUUUUUUUUAUCACUGUUUUUUCUGUUGCCAUGUCGCUCCAAACGCCAUUGAACGAUCCAACUUUUUCACGAACAGAGAAGAGACCCAUCGAACAAAGACCUUCUGCCUCAGUUCGCAGGUUUAGCAUAUCUAAAAGGUAGACAGGAGUCCAUCUGGAAUAAUUGUUUUUGUUGGCUACAAAGAAGUAAGGAAGCAUUGGGAAAAUAGAAUGCAAAUGAAGAGACCAAAGGCCAUUUCUUUCAGCUCGGAUAUCAGCAUAAUUUCUAAAGCUUGUAGUAGCAUAUCCCAAUAACGAAAUGUAGGAGAAACAUGACCACCCGGUUCUCGAAGCAUGUCAAAUGUACGGCCAUUACUCAUAAAACUUUAAUGACACUCUGUGAGGAAUACAAAAAUGCUUUCACGAAUUUCUAAACAUUUUUUUGUCUGAUCCAAACAAAAAACGAACAGAUCCAAGGUGUUUUCAAUGUCUCAUAAAGGAGUGUGAGUCUUCUAACUGCAUGGUUGAACAGUUUUCCUGAAAGCAUUUGCUCUACCGUUGCUGCUGCGUACACACCGGAAUCAACUAGCAGGUCGCGGAGACCACCAUCUCCCCAUAUUUUAGCUAUUGAUGAAAUAAAACACGAUAGGGUAUAAAAGCCACCAAGACGUAAAAUGUGUGAAUCAAACUCAGAAGGUCUAUCCCAUUUUACCUGUUGUGUCACUGCGUACAAUUGUAAAUCAAAAGUUUGAAUAGAAAAUGGUUGACCAGCCUUCUGGCACAUAUCAGCAC